GAUGAACGCUAGCUGGGAGGCUUAACACAUGCCCCUUUAGGGGCAGCACGAGGUAGCAAUACUUUGGUGGCGACCGGCGCACGGGUGAGUAACGCGUAUGUAACCUACCCUGUACAGGGGGAUAGCCCGGAGAAAUUCGGAUUAAUACCCCAUAAAGAUAUGAGAUGGCAUCAUUUUAUAUUUAAAGUUCCGACGGUACGGGAUGGGCAUGCGUAACAUUAGCUAGUUGGCAGGGUAACGGCCUACCAAGGCAGCGAUGUUUAGGGGUCCUGAGAGGGUGAUCCCCCACACUGGUACUGAGACACGGACCAGACUCCUACGGGAGGCAGCAGUGAGGAAUAUUGGUCAAUGGGCGCAAGCCUGAACCAGCCAUCCCGCGUGCAGGAAGAAGGCGCUAUGCGUUGUAAACUGCUUUUGCAGGGGAAGAAUGUUUCGCAUGUAUGCGGAAUUGACGGUACCUUGUGAAUAAGCAUCGGCUAACUCCGUGCCAGCAGCCGCGGUAAUACGGAGGAUGCGAGCGUUAUCCGGAUUUAUUGGGUUUAAAGGGUGCGUAGGCGGAUUGAUAAGUCAGUGGUGAAAUACUGCAGCUUAACUGUAGAAUUGCCGUUGAUACUGUCAGUCUUGAGUAUGGUUAAGGUAGGCGGAAUGUGUAAUGUAGCGGUGAAAUGCUUAGAUAUUACACAGAACACCAAUUGCGAAGGCAGCUUACUGAGCCAAAACUGACGCUGAGGCACGAAAGCGUGGGGAGCGAACAGGAUUAGAUACCCUGGUAGUCCACGCCGUAAACGAUGAUCACUCGCUGUUAGCGAUACACAGUUAGCGGCUAAGCAAAAGCAUUAAGUGAUCCACCUGGGGAGUACGGCCGCUAGGCUGAAACUCAAAGGAAUUGACGGGGGCCCGCACAAGCGGAGGAACAUGUGGUUUAAUUCGAUGAUACGCGAGGAACCUUACCUAGAUUUGACUUGUAACUGCAAAUCCCUGGAAACAGGGACUCCUUCGAGGGUGUUACACAGCUGCUGCAUGGUUGUCGUCAGUUCGUGUCGUGAGGCGUCGGCUUAAGUCCCGUAACGAACGCAACCCCUGUGCUAUGUUA
This 1093-nucleotide ribosomal RNA is filed under the name uncultured Bacteroidales bacterium. Its description in RNAcentral is "bacterial SSU rRNA". It matches the Rfam family "Bacterial small subunit ribosomal RNA", at positions 28 to 1117 of the family's 1533-position model. Lineage: Bacteria; Pseudomonadati; Bacteroidota; Bacteroidia; Bacteroidales. The record is from RNAcentral.